UAAUCUCACUCCGACAGCUUUCUUGUUGUCUGGAGGUGGACUUGGACCUUGCCGUGUCACAACGGCUGGUCUGAAAUGCAUGAGUGCACCCUGCUGUAGCAGCGUCUUCAGUGUGAUAAGUAUCUUCACUGAUUCAAGUUCCCUCGGGACACGCUCGUCUGGUGGGCUCUGGGCUUCUAACCGUCCGCAUGGACAAACUUUGACA
RNAcentral lists this unclassified non-coding RNA (205 nucleotides) under uncultured Serendipitaceae. RNAcentral describes it as "sequence contains ITS2". Lineage: Eukaryota; Fungi; Basidiomycota; Agaricomycetes; Sebacinales; Serendipitaceae. The record is from RNAcentral.